This is a long non-coding RNA of Astatotilapia calliptera (eastern happy), 1556 nucleotides long. Lineage: Eukaryota; Metazoa; Chordata; Actinopteri; Cichliformes; Cichlidae. The record is from Ensembl.
GAUUAAACUUGUCAAGAGGCCUGAUUGACAGGGUCAAAUCUUCACAUUCCAUUCUGCUGAAAUGAGAAAAAAGAAAGUAAAAUAGACACUCGAUGUGUCAGCUUCCCUUCCCUUUCCCUUCCUUUUCUUUUCCUCUCCCAAGCUCAGCAAACUCCCCUGUUCUCUCCCUCCCUUUCACUCAUUUUUCCUGCCUCCCUCGCUUUCCCCCUUACAAUCUCGGUCAGGAAUGUUUUAAUUUUAGGGAUAGAUUCUGCCUGUCAAGCGAGGCUGGAUGGCCUGUAGUUCAGAUGAUGAGAUGUGAUGGGUGUAAAACAAUAAAAAAAAAAAGAGAGCGGAGAUGUGAGAGAACAAAGAGGAAAAGAGCUCACUUUAUUGGACAGAUUUAAUUACACUGAAUAGAGAUUAAGGCAGGCAAUCCACUGAGGUGUGAAAUUAACCCUUGAUUACUGAUGAAGCUCUGAACAGAGGCUGAAAACAACAUUUAAAAAAGAUUGACCACUCAGUAGCAAUAAUUAUUUCAGAUAUCACUGUUUCAAUUUAAAAAAAAAAACAACAACAACAUCUGGUUAUGUAAAGCUUAUGUGCAUACAUAAAUUAGGAUAGAAAACUACAUUAUUAACAGGGAUAAAAAAAAAAAAAAAACCACUAACAGAUCUGAAAUCCAGCAGCUUGCUUGCAACAAAGAUUACUAACCUUUCUGUUCAACAGGACUCUUUCCCUGCAGGGGAAUGGGACCAUGGCAGGGGAAAAAAGAAGAAAAAAAACAAUUAAAAAUGCAAAAAUGAGUUGAUGCAAUCUGCUCACUCUAAACGACAUUGCAGACUUAUUCUGCUGAAAUCUCCAACGCAUCGCUACAUCAACCGUAUUCAGAGAACGGACAGUUGUGAUUUGCACAUAACUGAAAGAAAGGAUUUUCAAAAUAAAUUACCGUAAGCAGCUUAAAAUAUUUAGUUCACUCAAAUAUCUCCAAUAAUUCUCACUUCUUUGCUGUAAUUCACAGAACGUGUGUUUAAAAACAAACCCUUAUCUCACGCAGCACAUUUCAAAACAAGGACUAAAAAUGUUCAUAUUAGGAAACAAGUGCUUUUCUCCUGCACUGAAUACCAGCCAGGUGCUCUCCCUUAGUGCUAUCAAUAUUCCCUAGAACACAGUCAAGAAAAAGGGAGCACUUCAUGCUCCAUAUUUUGAUAAAUAAGGUUAGAUAAUUCUUUACAAAAAAGAAAAGAAAAAGGCAAAAGAAGAGCAAAAACAUCAUUCAGAUAAACACAGUUAGGCCAGUAAAACAACACGAGACUCGCUUAUGAAUGCAGCCUGAUCCUAGCACGCUGUUGUUUAUUCAUCUUACUAUCACCACACAUUAUCAGCCAGCCAUCCAGGAGGGAAAUGGGACAUCCUCUUGUUCAGACCUGAUGUUCACAACUCGGAGACAGCCAAAUGCACUGCCCCGACAAGGCUAGCUGUUCGUAUAAUUAGCAGUAAUUAAUGAAGAGAAAGAAAAGACUCGUUUGUAUUUUAAAUGAUCUUAAAUGAUCCCAUUAGCACUUGUCAUAGUCCUG